Mycena rebaudengoi is the source of this 81-nucleotide non-coding RNA. The record is from the annotation of a GenBank genome assembly. Lineage: Eukaryota; Fungi; Basidiomycota; Agaricomycetes; Agaricales; Mycenaceae.
GACCCAGUAGCACGCGGUGUGCAUCUCCUCUACUUAAAAUGGUUGCUGGAGACGGCCCUGGUUCGACUCCAGGCUAAGUCA